Molecule: long non-coding RNA, 1424 nt
Organism: Lathyrus oleraceus (garden pea)
Lineage: Eukaryota; Viridiplantae; Streptophyta; Magnoliopsida; Fabales; Fabaceae
Exons: 4
Source: RefSeq, a predicted model, not a curated record
CACAAAAAUCCAGAUCAAAUUUCUCAAUCCAAACGUGAGGCAUUCACAAAAUGCUUUAGCCUGAACCAAUUUCUUCGCCGCUUCCUCCGUAAUUUCAUCCUCUCACAUCGAUUCCACGCUUCCGUUUUCAACCGAAGCUAUGAAUAACAUUGAACCUGGAGCCAACAUCAUUUGAAUUCUAAAUCAAAAUCCACCUUGACACAGCCAAGACUUCAAUCACGUUAAGCUCCGAGAUCCAAAUCAACAUCUAAUUCGCUUCAUUAUUGCGCACCAGAAUCGAAAGAAAUUGAAUUGAAGCGAACACCACAGCGAGUCAUGGAUCGCAAUGAGAAGGUAGAAGAAAAUUUACCGGAAUUUGAGCUCAAGCUUUGUGGCACGAAUAGGCAUUUGGACUGAGGUGCCUUGAUUUGUUGUUGAAGGCAUUAUUAAUCAAUGAGGCUUGCUAAAUUAUGCUGAAAUCCAUGGUGUUCAUGUUCCUGCUCGUGGCUUUGAUGGACUCCAAUGCUUGGAUCCAGGAUUGAGAGGCAAAGUUUUUUCAUGAAGCAAUUGGUUUAUGAUGCAUAGGUACGGGUACGGUACCCGGUGCGGGUACCGGUAAUGGUACGGGAUACGCCAUUUUAAAAAAAAUUAAGGUACGGGUACGUUAAUAAAAAAUAAGAGUUUUCUAUAAAAUGUAUGGGGAGAAAACUAAAUUGUUAGGUUCACAAUAAUACAUCACUAUAAAAGUUUAAAAAAUAAAAAAUAAUAUUAAGAUAUAGUAACGAAGAAAUGAAAAUACAUAAAUAUACUACAUUGAUAUUUGAAAAAACAAAAAAUUUCACUUGAAAUCGAAUAAUCAGAAAAGAUGAAGUACCACGAGUACGGUACGUGUACCUGGUACGGAUGCGCACCCGAUACCAGUACUUCACCAUUUUAGAAGUACCCAUGCUUCAGAGCAAUUGGUGUUAACUGAUGUACAAUGUGUAUGCUCAUAUGUUAUUGCCAUGAAUUUGAUGUGCUUGUCAUGGAUGUAUUGCUGGUUUGUGUGCUACAUGAUGCAAGGCUGCAAUUGUCAUGCUUGGAUGAACACUUUGGUCAUGGUUUGCAUAGACUCAUGGGGUGUUCUGACUUGUUCUUGGUUUUGUAGGUUUACUUGCACAAGCUAAGUUCAUGACAUGGCAUUGAAUAUCAUGUGCAAAUGGCCAAAUCAAAAUCAAGAUGGAACUGGAAAAUGGGAUUAGGAUUAGCAUUGGCAUUUAGUGGUUUAGGAUGGAAAAUCACUUUGAGUUGACUUUGGUCAAAGUUGAACAAAAAGUCAACUGUUGACCAAAGUUAAUAUUUGUUAAACAUGUAUUUUUUUUGGUAUUUUUUGUAUGUAAAGAACAAUUUAUGGUCAUGUAAUGAAUGGGAUUGAUGCAUUUAAAUGAAAAUGAAUGGAUUUGGUA